AGCUAGUUGGUGAGGUAAUGGCCCACCAAGGCAACGAUCGGUAGCCGGACUGAGAGGUUGAACGGCCACAUUGGGACUGAGACACGGCCCAGACUCCUACGGGAGGCAGCAGUGGGGAAUAUUGCACAAUGGGGGAAACCCUGAUGCAGCGACGCCGCGUGGAGGAAGAAGGUCUUCGGAUUGUAAACUCCUGUUGUUGAGGAAGAUAAUGACGGUACUCAACAAGGAAGUGACGGCUAACUACGUGCCAGCAGCCGCGGUAAAACGUAGGUCACAAGCGUUGUCCGGAAUUACUGGGUGUAAAGGGAGCGCAGGCGGGAAGACAAGUUGGAAGUGAAAUCUAUGGGCUCAACCCAUAAACUGCUUUCAAAACUGUUUUUCUUGAGUAGUGCAGAGGUAGGCGGAAUUCCCGGUGUAGCGGUGGAAUGCGUAGAUAUCGGGAGGAACACCAGUGGCGAAGGCGGCCUACUGGGCACCAACUGACGCUGAGGCUCGAAAGUGUGGGUAGCAAACAGGAUUAGAUACCCUGGUAGUCCACACCGUAAACGAUGAUUACUAGGUGUUGGAGGAUUGACCCCUUCAGUGCCGCAGUUAACACAAUAAGUAAUCCACCUGGGGAGUACGACCGCAAGGUUGAAACUCAAAGGAAUUGACGGGGGCCCGCACAAGCAGUGGAGUAUGUGGUUUAAUUCGACGCAACGCGAAAAACCUUACCAAGUCUUGACAUCCUGCGACGCACAUAGAAAUAUGUGUUUCCUUCGGGACGCAGAGACAGGUGGUGCAUGGUUGUCGUCAGCUCGUGUCGUGAGAUGUUGGGUUAAGUCCCGCAACGAGCGCAACCCUUACUGUCAGUUACUACGCAAGAGGACUCUGGCAGGACUGCCGUUGACAAAACGGAGGAAGGUGGGGAUGACGUCAAAUCAUCAUGCCCUUUAUGACUUGGGCUACACACGUACUACAAUGGCGUUAAACAAAGAGAAGCAAGACCGCGAGGUGGAGCAAAACUCAGAAACAACGUCCCAGUUCGGACUGCAGGCUGCAACUCGCCUGCACGAAGUCGGAAUUGCUAGUAAUCGUGGAUCAGCAUGCCACGGUGAAUACGUUCCCGGGCCUUGUACACACCGCCCGUCACACCAUGAGAGCCGGGGGGACCCGAAGUCGGUAGUCUAACCGUAAGGAGGACGCCGCCGAAGGUAAAACUGGUGAUUGGGGUGAAGUCGAAACAAGGUAGCCGUAGGAGAACCUGCGGCUG
This 1252-nucleotide ribosomal RNA is filed under the name metagenome. RNAcentral describes it as "bacterial SSU rRNA". It matches the Rfam family "Bacterial small subunit ribosomal RNA", at positions 243 to 1520 of the family's 1533-position model. The record is from RNAcentral.